This is a long non-coding RNA of Daphnia pulex (common water flea), 1434 nucleotides long. RefSeq lists it as uncharacterized. Lineage: Eukaryota; Metazoa; Arthropoda; Branchiopoda; Diplostraca; Daphniidae. The record is from RefSeq and is a predicted model, not a curated record. The transcript is spliced from 2 exons.
AGUCAGACACUCAAGACGGAAGAUAAACCAAUAUUCGUCAUCUCCGUGAAAUAGAUUAAGUAGAUAAAUAAAGCAAUUAUCGAAAAAUUAACAAGUGAGCUUUGUUGGUGGAAUUAUUUAUACAGAGAUGUUCAAAGUAGCUGAAACUGACUUAUUUGACAGCUGAAAAUGACCAAAGUCUAUGAUAAAGUCUUCUAGCGUUAGAAAAAAUUAACGAAAAAUAACAAUUCGUUUGCGAGUUUGCGACUCGCAAAGAGGGCCUAAUUGAUUACGCAGACACAGAGUUCAAAGCCAGUAGAUUAUUAGUAAUUAAUCGUAAUUAAUCUACGAAAAUAGGUGAAUUGUAGGGUACCUAGGCAUAAUCAUGUCGCAGCGGACUAAAGUCCAACUCGUCAAGACUGUCUGUUGUGUAGCAGUGAAGCUAGAUGAGUGUGAGCGCAAAGAUUAGGAAUUAGGAUGGAGCAGCAGAACGUCACUCUUCUGUCAUCGUCAUAAAAACGAAAUAAUUUUUUUUUCUGUCAUCGUCAUAAAAACUAAAAAAAUCGCCGUCUUUUUGCAACACCUCCAAAUAAAAAUAAAUGGCAAACGUCAUCGGUUUGUUUAGCAGACGAAAAAAAACGUGAUUGUUUCGUAACAUAACAAACAAAUGUGUGAAAAUUGUUUUCAGAUUUAAAUGCAUCUGUUUUCUGUCCGGUAAUAAUGUAUGUCUGCUCCUUGGGAUGGCGGAGCGUCAGCUGUUCUAGGCAAGGAAAUAAUGGCAGACUUUGGAUUGGAAUACCUAGCAGAUUUCUAUCUUCCAAAAAAAGUCAACCUCCAGUAAAUCACUACAGAGUGCUCGGCAUAUCUUCAAAAGCAACACAAGCGGAAAUUAAAGCUUCAUUUUACAAAUUGUCAAAACUUUUCCAUCCCGAUGUCAGUGAUCAAAGUGAAGAGACUGCCACAAAAUUUAGACAAAUUACAGCAGCCUAUGAGAUUCUUGGCAAUUUGAAAUUAAGGAAAAUGUAUGAUAGAGGACUUUUGCCACAUCAUGAAAAUGUUUACCCUGGAGUUGAAGUUGAUUAUAAUGAGCCUGAAGUGAAAUCUCCAUAUAAGAAAACAGGAAAACAGCCAGCAACUGGUAGAACUACUAUUUAUGACUUUGAUGCAUGGUCUAGAAUGCAUUACGGAACUGCAAUGAACCGCAAAGCAGCAGCCAAGGGAAAGUGGCAUUCUCAAAACAAUGCAAGAGAAGAAAUUAAUGAAAAUGCUAAAUCAGAUCAUACUAUUGGAUUGGUUUUGAUAGGUAUCACAAUUGUGGCAUUACUUCACAUAGCAGCCCAACCCAACUAUGAUGUACCAAAUGAUAACAAGAAAUGAUUCAUUUUGUUGUGUUUGUGUACAGUUACAUCCUUGUUAAUAUGUAGGCUUUCUAAUACAAUGGAAAGAAAAACAUAA